Molecule: ribosomal RNA, 500 nt
Filed under: uncultured bacterium
Lineage: Bacteria
Description: partial 16S ribosomal RNA
Rfam family: Bacterial small subunit ribosomal RNA
Source: RNAcentral
AUUGAACGCUGGCGGCAUGCCUUACACAUGCAAGUCGAACGGCAGCACGGAGCUUGCUCUGGUGGCGAGUGGCGAACGGGUGAGUAAUAUAUCGGAACGUACCCAAGAGUGGGGGAUAACGUAGCGAAAGUUACGCUAAUACCGCAUACGAUCUAAGGAUGAAAGUGGGGGCUCGCAAGACCUCAUGCUCCUGGAGCGGCCGAUAUCUGAUUAGCUAGUUGGUGAGGUAAAGGCUCACCAAGGCAUCGAUCAGUAGCUGGUCUGAGAGGACGACCAGCCACACUGGAACUGAGACACGGUCCAGACUCCUACGGGAGGCAGCAGUGGGGAAUUUUGGACAAUGGGGGCAACCCUGAUCCAGCAAUGCCGCGUGAGUGAAGAAGGCCUUCGGGUUGUAAAGCUCUGUUGUCAGGGAAGAAACGGUGAAGGCUAAUAUCCUUUGCUAAUGACGGUACCUGAAGAAUAAGCACCGGCUAACUUCGUGCCAGCAGCCGCCGUAA